Molecule: RNA transcript, 913 nt
Organism: Leptopilina heterotoma
Lineage: Eukaryota; Metazoa; Arthropoda; Insecta; Hymenoptera; Figitidae
Gene: ND-B12
Gene name: NADH dehydrogenase [ubiquinone] 1 beta subcomplex subunit 3
Exons: 3
Source: RefSeq, a predicted model, not a curated record
AGCCAAUCAGAGACGAAUGCUGUUUUAUCGUCAGUCGUUAAUCUUAAGGCUAAUUCACAGUUCGUGUUUUUUCUUCUCAAAGAGAAUUUAUUUGUUGACAGUCGAAAAAAUUAUUUAUUUCAAAAUUAUUAUUUAUUGAACAUGGGUGGACAUGGACAUCAUCCAGUGCCAGAAAUUCCCUGUUAUACCAAAUACAAAUGGGAGACUGUUCCAGAAUUAGUAAAAUUACAAAAAGAUCUAGGAAAAUUAGGAUUAAAGGAUCCAUGGGCAAGGAACCAAGUUUGGCGAUAUCAUCCAGGUUUUGGAACCAAGUUGCAAAGGAUUUUAACUUGUUGUUUUCGUGGUUGGAAAGUGGGAGUUCCAGCUUUUCUCAUAACAAUUGCUGCCGAGAAAGCUUUGGGCAUUGAUUACGGUGGCCAUGGACACCAUUAAAAUUUGUUUAUUAAUUUAUGAAUCGAGAAGUUAGUUGGAUAUUAACAACAAUGGAAGUAGUUGAAAAUGGAAAACAUCAUUUUAUUGAAUAUUAAAAUAUGCGUUUACAGAAACAAAUGGGAUUAAUUAUGAAAAACAAAUAAGAAACAAACAAUUAAUUGCAGAAUAUAGAGGAAUUAAAGUUUUGAUACGUCGUUAAAGUCUUCAAAGCAACUUAGGUAAGAAAAAGAGUAUUUUUUAUUUCAUAUAUUUAUUUACAAUCUAUGUUUAAAUUAAUUAUAAUAUUUUACUAGUAGCAUUGUUAUAUUUUUAUUAUUACAGUUUUAAAUAAUUCUUUCUCCAUUUCAGAAUAAAAUACUGUUGGUAUUAAAAUAAUGAUAAAUAUUUACAAAACGCAAAACGAGACAUACAAUAAAUAUCGUUACAUGUUUGUCAACAAAUGAUUUGUAACAGAUAUACACAAUUUACUUCAAUUAAACAA